RNAcentral lists this ribosomal RNA (459 nucleotides) under uncultured bacterium. RNAcentral's name for it is "partial 16S ribosomal RNA". It matches the Rfam family "Bacterial small subunit ribosomal RNA", at positions 338 to 795 of the family's 1533-position model. The record is from RNAcentral.
CCUACGGGUGGCAGCAGUGAGGAAUAUUGGUCAAUGGCCGAGAGGCUGAACCAGCCAAGUCGCGUGAGGGCAGACGGCCCUAUGGGUUGUAAACUUCUUUUGUCGGGGAGUACAGCGAGUUACGUGUGACUCAUUGUGAGUACCCGAAUAAUAAGCAUCGGCUAACUCCGUGCCAGCAGCCGCGGUAAUACGGAGGAUGCGAGCGUUCACCGGCUUUUUGGGGUUUAAAGGAUGUGAAGGCGGAUUUUUAAGUCAGCGCGAAAAUCGGGGGGCUCAACCUAAUCCAGGCGUUGAAACUGGGGGUCUAGAGUGUGCGAGAGGUAUGCGGAAUGCGGGGGGUAGCGGGGAAAUGCAUAGAUAUCACGCAGAACCCCGAUUGCGAAGGCAGCAUACCGGUGCACAACUGACGCUGAGGCACGAAAGCGUGGGUAUCGAACAGGAUUAGAUACCAGAGUAGUC